Molecule: ribosomal RNA, 555 nt
Filed under: Bacillus sp. LBBMA TR59II
Lineage: Bacteria; Bacillati; Bacillota; Bacilli; Caryophanales; Bacillaceae
Description: bacterial SSU rRNA
Rfam family: Bacterial small subunit ribosomal RNA
Source: RNAcentral
CGAAACGCUGGCGGCGUGCCUAAUACAUGCAAGUCGAGCGGACAGAUGGGAGCUUUGCUCCCCUGAUGUUAGCGGCGGACGGGUGAGUAACACGUGGGUAACCUGCCUGUAAGACUGGGAUAACUCCGGGAAACCGGGGCUAAUACCGGAUGGUUGUCUGAACCGCAUGGUUCAGACAUAAAAGGUGGCUUCGGCUACCACUUACAGAUGGACCCGCGGCGCAUUAGCUAGUUGGUGAGGUAACGGCUCACCAAGGCGACGAUGCGUAGCCGACCUGAGAGGGUGAUCGGCCACACUGGGACUGAGACACGGCCCAGACUCCUACGGGAGGCAGCAGUAGGGAAUCUUCCGCAAUGGACGAAAGUCUGACGGAGCAACGCCGCGUGAGUGAUGAAGGUUUUCGGAUCGUAAAGCUCUGUUGUUACGGGAAGAACAAGUGCCGUUCAAAUAGGGCGGAACCUUGACGGUACCUAACCAGAAAGCCAACGGUAACUACGUGCCAGCAAGCCGACGGUAAAUACGGUAAGGUGGCAAAGCGUUGUCCGGAAUUAUCUG